RNAcentral lists this ribosomal RNA (395 nucleotides) under uncultured bacterium. RNAcentral describes it as "partial 16S ribosomal RNA". It matches the Rfam family "Bacterial small subunit ribosomal RNA", at positions 523 to 917 of the family's 1533-position model. The record is from RNAcentral.
AUACGUAGGUGGCAAGCGUUGUCCGGAAUUAUUGGGCGUAAAGCGCAUGUAGGCGGUUUGGUAAGUCGGUCGUGAAAAUGCGGUGCUUAACGCCGUAUGGCGAUUGAAACUGCUGAACUUGAGUGCAGGAGAGGAAAGGGGAACUCCCAGUGUAGCGGUGAAAUGCGUAGAUAUUGGGAAGAACACCGGUGGCGAAGGCGCCUUUCUGGACUGUGUCUGACGCUCAGAUGCGAAAGCCAGGGUAGCGAACGGGAUUAGAUACCCCGGUAGUCCUGGCCGUAAACGAUGGGUACUAGGUGUGGGAGGUAUCGACUCCUUCCGUGCCGGAGUUAACGCAAUAAGUACCCCGCCUGGGGAGUACGGCCGCAAGGCUUAAACUCAAAUGAAUUGGCGGG